Numida meleagris (helmeted guineafowl) is the source of this 221-nucleotide long non-coding RNA. RefSeq lists it as uncharacterized. NCBI's taxonomy places the organism in Eukaryota, Metazoa, Chordata, Aves, Galliformes, Numididae. The record is from RefSeq and is a predicted model, not a curated record. The transcript has 2 exons.
GUGAUUUCCAUGUCAGAUCAGAAUUUCUUCUUUCUACUGUGCCUCUGGAUUGAGGAUGCUUUCAUUGCUGAGUACUGCCUCAUAUGGUCAGAUGGGUUUGUAUAUCCUGGCUACAUCCACUCCCAGCUAAUUGUAUGCUCCCAGCCUAUUUGCUGGUGAGGCAGCAUGAAGAACAGAGGACUUGACUUUGUGUAACAACUAAAACACUGCUGUGUUAUCAA